Pocillopora damicornis (cauliflower coral) is the source of this 1283-nucleotide long non-coding RNA. NCBI's taxonomy places the organism in Eukaryota, Metazoa, Cnidaria, Anthozoa, Scleractinia, Pocilloporidae. The record is from RefSeq and is a predicted model, not a curated record.
GGUUUAAAGCAAUGGCUGCCUUCGUGGACAAUUCCUUGCUUGAUGUACGCGGAAGAAAUUCGAUGGCUACUACGCUCAAUAUACAUACAAAGUCACACACCGUUCGCGGUAGACCCACACUAAGACUUGUGGAGCGUUUUGGGAAUGGUUCGGUCCGCGAACUUUACGAGAGAUCAAUUUACGAGUGAUCCUUUACGAGUGAACCUUCUAUCGGGAAAUAUCAAGCGAAACCUGCUAUAUCAAACGAGCUAUCUCAUAUCAUGUUUACAUAUAAACACAAUCGUGUAUUUAGACGUGAUCGAGAACCCAGUAGAAUACCAGAAGCUACUCUGAAACGUCUCAGAAGAAAGGGCAGAAAACCGAGGGAAUUCGUUUAUGAGUGUUUUCGUCCAAGCAUACCGAAGUCCUCUUGGCUACGUCGUUAUGUGAAGUUGUUUGUCAAGUGGGUUGUAUGGUCCUGUGUGUUUAUGUCCAGAAAGUGUGAAACCUGAUUUUGGUUUUGAUAAUUUACCAAUUGCUUUGUGGAUAUCAAGACUGCCACCUUUAUAUAAUGGAUCUUUUGGAUCAUUUACACCUUGAGGUGAAUACAUACUCAUUGGACACCAUUUUGAAUAAUCAAUCUGACCACUUUGAUGAAGAGGAUCUAAUUUUUUUGAUACGUAUUUAUCAGCAAUUUCUCUUAUCUUCUUUUUUGCAAAAUCAGAUCUGAUAGCCUUUGAAGCACCAAGUCUACCAAGAUCAUAUCAACCUUUUACACCAGUUUUCAAUGCCAUUUCAAUGUUUCCUACGAAACAUAAACACGGCAGAUUUAAGACGAAGAUCUAUUCAGAGAUGCCUUGUCUGAAUCGGUGGAUCAAGCAGGAAUUCAAAGUUACCAUGUUUGUGGUCAAUAGUAAAAAGAUACGGGGACUUCCUAAUAAAAAGGGCACCUGAUCAAGCUUAUUUCAAUGAUUUAGUUAUGACGGUGUUCUCUGAAUGCCAGUGGAAUUAAUAGUUUGAACGCGACGGAGUAAGGACUCUCAUUUAAGAAUCUUUUUUCUGGUUCACCAUUCUAAGUUUGUCUACGUUUAAGUAGUACGUGGUAUGGUAUGGCGCCUUUAUCUCAGUGCCCAACAUAUUAAGAUAAAAUAACCAAAAUAAUGUACUUUUCUGCAGUGAAAACUUCCUAGUUGAUGCUGAAUAUGACUAACAACUUGUCAAUUUUAUAUUUCUAGGAACCUUUAUUGUUACACUAUUGCUUAACAGGUUUAUUUCAAUAAAGGACCUAAUCGUCUCUCGACGGA